UGAAGUUUAUACUAUUUUGUGAAAAUUGGAAAUUUUAUAUGAAAUAAUUUGAUUAUUGAAUUUUGGUGGUAUACAUGUGUUCUUGGGAGAUUUCUAAGCAUGCUUAUAUGUUGAAUUGAUGAGGAAAACAUUUUCUUCUUCAUCCUCCAAGAGUGGCAGAACCUAUUGAUGAAUAAGGCCUUAAGUUUUCUUGUUAUUCUUUGAGGAUUUGUGAUCUUAAGAUGAUAUUUGAUGAGUAGUGAGUAUGUGGUAGAAAUCUCUACCUUGUAUAUGAUUUAAGUAAGCUGAAAUUAGGACAAAAUGUUAAUGGGUGUGUUUAAGGACUGUUUUUCUAUUCGUUUUAUUUUCCCUCUGUAUUUGAGUCCUUCAUAAAAGUUGUGGUUAUACUUCUUAGCUUUCCAACCCAUCCUCUUGUGUCCAAUUUUGAUAUAUAUAGCUCAGCUUAUGACUAAAACACCUAAACUGACUCUGUUGUAACGUACCACAUGCAGCAAUAGAUUGAGUGACUAUUUUGACCACCAUAAUGGCAAGAUUAGGUGUUGAGCUCUUCAUGAGAUUUGUUUCCCUGUGUCUUGAAAUUUACCUGGU
Molecule: long non-coding RNA, 588 nt
Filed under: Jatropha curcas
Lineage: Eukaryota; Viridiplantae; Streptophyta; Magnoliopsida; Malpighiales; Euphorbiaceae
Description: long non-coding RNA (JCUR_LNC001366)
Source: RNAcentral